GACGAACGCUGGCGGCGUGCUUAACACAUGCAAGUCGAACGGAAAGGCCCUGCUUUUGUGGGGUGCUCGAGUGGCGAACGGGUGAGUAACACGUGAGUAACCUGCCCUUGACUUUGUGAUAACUUCAGGCAACUGCGGCUAAUACCUGAUAGGUGCUCCUGCUGCAUGGUGGGGGUUGGAACGUUUCGGCGGUUGGGGAUGGACUCGCGGCUUAUCAGCUUGUUGGUGGGGUAGUGGCUUACCAAGGCUUUGACGGGUAGCCGGCCUGAGAGGGUGACCGGCCACAUUGGGACUGAGAGACGGACCAGACUCCUACGGGAGGCAGCAGUGGGGAAUAUUGCACAAUGGGCGGAAGCCUGAUGCAGCAACGCCGCGUGCGGGAUGACGGCCUUCGGGUUGUAAACCGCUGUAGCCUGUGACGAAGCGUGAGUGAUGGUAAUGGGUAAAGAAGCACCGGCUAACUACGUG
Molecule: ribosomal RNA, 468 nt
Filed under: uncultured bacterium
Lineage: Bacteria
Description: partial 16S ribosomal RNA
Rfam family: Bacterial small subunit ribosomal RNA
Source: RNAcentral